Molecule: long non-coding RNA, 90 nt
Organism: Leucoraja erinaceus (little skate)
Lineage: Eukaryota; Metazoa; Chordata; Chondrichthyes; Rajiformes; Rajidae
Exons: 3
Source: RefSeq, a predicted model, not a curated record
UGAAACAACUGCUUCACAAAAAUAUCGAGCAAGGAAAUCUGGUCAAUCAACUCAAGGAAUCAGCGAACGAAUUUCACUCAAAAGAGAGCG